RNAcentral lists this unclassified non-coding RNA (337 nucleotides) under fungal sp. RNAcentral describes it as "partial internal transcribed spacer region". The stretch from base 1 to 46 matches the Rfam family "Eukaryotic small subunit ribosomal RNA", at positions 1786 to 1831 of the family's 1831-position model. Lineage: Eukaryota; Fungi. The record is from RNAcentral.
AAGUCGUAACAAGGUUUCCGUAGGUGAACCUGCGGAAGGAUCAUCAUUGAAUGUGUGUGUUGGCCAGGUGUGGACGGACCGGACCGGACGAGGGUUUUUUUUAUUCUCUCGGUCUGUUCGGCCGCGCUCGGUCUUUCAUCCACCAAUAUACGAUACUUUUUGACCGGGGGGGAAGAUGGUCUGUUAUCGGUCUGGGGACGUUCAUGUCCACGGACCGGUUGAAAACACUCUAGCAUAUAUAGCACUGUUGAACAGGAACUUAUUUGACCGGGUUUGGUGUCAUGCCACCCGGUGUAUAAAGCAUGAAAACUUUCGGCAAUGGAUCUCUCGGCUCUCC